RNAcentral lists this ribosomal RNA (255 nucleotides) under uncultured bacterium. Its description in RNAcentral is "partial 16S ribosomal RNA". It matches the Rfam family "Bacterial small subunit ribosomal RNA", at positions 524 to 776 of the family's 1533-position model. The record is from RNAcentral.
UACGGGGGGAGCAAGCGUUUGUUCGGAUUUACUGGGCGUAAAGGGCGGGUAGGCGGCCACCGCAAGUCAGUUGUGAAAUCUCCGGGCUUAACCCGGAAAGGUCAACUGAUACUGCGGGGCUAGAGUGCAGAAGGGGCAACUGGAAUUCUCGGUGUAGCGGUGAAAUGCGCAGAGAUCGGGAGGAACACCAAUGGCGAAAGCAGGUACCUGGACUAUUACUGACGCUAAGCUGCGAAAGCUAGGGGAGCAAACAGG